UAUUAUUGAUUUUGAAUAAUGUAAUGCUUGAGUAGUAAAAGUUAUUUUCUUGAAACUUAAAGAAUUUGGCGGUAUUUUAGUCUUUUUAGAGGAAUCUGUUCUGUAAUUGAUAACACACGUUUAAGUUACUUAAUUUUGUGAUCAGUUUGUAUAUCGCCGUCAUAAGAUUAUCUUAUUGAGAGUUUAAAAUUUCUUGAUUUUGGAAUAAAAAAUGUCAGGUCAAGGUGCAGUUUAUGAUUAAGUAGAAAUGGAUUACAUUCAUAGUAAUGAAAUGAAUGAUAUAAUAAAUAAUAUUUGAAAGUGGAUUUAAUUGUAAAAUUAUUUUAAAUGGUGAUUUGAUUAAAGCUCUAAAAUGUGUACAUAUCGCCCGUCGCUCUCGUUAAAGUAUGAG
This 391-nucleotide ribosomal RNA is filed under the name Tremellia sp. PNG. RNAcentral's name for it is "partial 12S ribosomal RNA". Lineage: Eukaryota; Metazoa; Arthropoda; Insecta; Orthoptera; Phalangopsidae. The record is from RNAcentral.